ACUCAAAGGAAUUGACGGGGACCCGCACAAGCGGUGGAUGAUGUGGUUUAAUUUGACGAUACGCGAAGAACCUUACCGAGGCUUGACAUCCUAGGAACCCUGUAGAAAUACGGGGGUGCCCUUGGGAGCCUAGUGACAGGUGCUGCAUGGCCGUCGUCAGCUCGUGUCGUGAGAUGUUGGGUUAAGUCCCGCAACGAGCGCAACCCUUGUCGUAUGUUGAAUUUUUCAUGCGAGACUGCCCGGGCCAACCGGGAGGAAGGUGGGGAUGACGUCAGGUCAGCAUGGCCCUUACGCCUCGGGCUACACACGUCAUACAAUGGCCAGUACAACGCGUUGCCAAGCCGCAAGGCGGAGCUAAUCGCACCAAAACUGGUCUCAGUUCGGAUUGGAGGCUGCAACUCGCCUCCAUGAAGUCGGAAUCGCUAGUAAACGUAGGUCAGCAUACUACGUUGAAUACGUUCCCGGGUCUUGUACACACCGCCCGU
Molecule: ribosomal RNA, 485 nt
Filed under: uncultured bacterium
Lineage: Bacteria
Description: partial 16S ribosomal RNA
Rfam family: Bacterial small subunit ribosomal RNA
Source: RNAcentral